RNAcentral lists this long non-coding RNA (530 nucleotides) under Homo sapiens (human). RNAcentral's name for it is "non-protein coding lnc-ABAT-4:1". The record is from RNAcentral. Lineage: Eukaryota; Metazoa; Chordata; Mammalia; Primates; Hominidae.
UGGAGUGUAGUGGCCCAAUCUCAGUUCACUGCAACCUCCACCUCCCAGGUUCAAGCAAUUCUCCUGCCUCAGGCAACCAAGUAGCUGGUGCUACAGGCAGGCACCACCACGCCUGGCUAAUUUUUGUAUUUUUAGUAGAGAUGGGGUUUCACUGUGUUGGCCAGGAUGGUCUCUAUCUCUGGACCUCGUGAUCCACCCGCCUCGGCCUCCCAAAGUGCUGGGAUUACAGGCGUGAGCCACCGUGUUCUGACUUUUAAAGGCCACUCCUCCAAUUCUAGAUUCUGUCUAAUAGGUCCAGAUUCCACUGUGAGAGUAGAAAAGAUUGCACUCUAUUACAAACCCUUCUGUACAAUUUUAAUCACAUUCAUGUAUUACUCUAAAAAAGUUUUUUAAAGAAAAAUCAUUGAACUCCAAGUGUUUAUAUACUGAGGUUGAAUUAAAUGGUUUUUUGUAUUUUCUAAAUUUCUAGUAAAAAGAUAUUCAGCCGGGCACGGUAGUUCAUGCCUAUAAUCCCAGCACUUGGGGAGGCU